AGUUUGAGAUUGAUGCGGAUGACUACAUCGUAUACGUGGA
This 40-nucleotide small RNA is filed under the name Arabidopsis thaliana (thale cress). Its description in RNAcentral is "ATSL139900". The record is from RNAcentral. Lineage: Eukaryota; Viridiplantae; Streptophyta; Magnoliopsida; Brassicales; Brassicaceae.